This 1145-nucleotide ribosomal RNA is filed under the name uncultured organism. RNAcentral's name for it is "bacterial SSU rRNA". It matches the Rfam family "Bacterial small subunit ribosomal RNA", at positions 74 to 1196 of the family's 1533-position model. The record is from RNAcentral.
GGGAUGAAACUGCUUAGGAAACGUGGCGAAAGGGUGAGUAACAGAUAGAUAACCUACCCUCGAGUUCGGGAUAAUCCAUCGAAAGGUGAAGUAAUACCGAAUGGUAUAAUAUCUUUACGGAGAUAUUAUUAAAGGGGGCUCCGGCUCUCGGUCGAGGAGGGGUCUAUUUCCUAUUAGCUUGUUGGUGAGGUAACGGCUCACCAAGGCGAUGAUGGGUAGGGGGCCUUAGCGGGUGGCCCUCCACACUGGGAGUGAGACACUGCCCAGGUUCCUACGGGAGGCUGCAAUCGAGAAUCCUCCGCAAUGGGCGAAAGCCUGACGGGGUGACGCCGCGUGACCGAUGAAGGCCCUUACGGGUCGUAAAGGUCUUACAGGGAGUAUGAAAUAUACUAUGGUUAAUACCCAUAGUAUUUGACGUCAAUCCCAGAUGAAGUCACGGCUAAAUUUGUGCCAGCAGCCGCGGUAAGACAAAUGUGGCAAGCGUUGUUCGGAAUCACUGGGCAUAAAGGGCACGUAGGCGGUGUAGUAAGUUAACUGUGAAAUCCCCCGGCUUAACUGGGGAACUGCAGUUAAUACUGCUAUACUAGAGUGCAGAAGAGGAGAGUGGAAUUCUAGGUGUAGCGGUGGAAUGCGAAGAUAUCUAGGAGAAGGCCGGUGGCGAAAGCGACUCUCUGGUCUGUCACUGACGCUGAGGUGCGAAAGUGUAGGUAGCGAACGGGAUUAGAUACCCCGGUAGUCUACACUGUAAACGAUGGGCACUAGAUGGUGGAAGCGCCGAUAGCUUUCUCCGUCGCAGUUAAUGCGUUAAGUGCCCCGCCUGGGGAGUAUGGCCGCAAGGUUAAAACUCAAAGGAAUUGACGGGGGCCCACACAAGCGGUGGAGGAUGUGGCUUAAUUCGAGGAUACGCGUAGAACCUUACCGAGGCUUGACAUGCAGGUGGUAGUGAAGUGAAAGCGGAACGACCCGAAUAGGGAGCCUGCACAGGUGCUGCAUGGCUGUCGGCAGCUCGUGUCGUGAGAUGUUAGGUUUAAGUCCUGUAACGAGCGAAACCACUUGUGCUUAAUUGCCAGCACGUUAUGGUGGGGACCUUAAGCAGACUGCCCCGGCCAACGGGGAGGAAGGUGGGGAUGACGUCAAGUCAGCAU